This 428-nucleotide long non-coding RNA is filed under the name Pan troglodytes (chimpanzee). Its description in RNAcentral is "long non-coding RNA NONPTRT010532". Lineage: Eukaryota; Metazoa; Chordata; Mammalia; Primates; Hominidae. The record is from RNAcentral.
CUGACUUUUUCAUAGGACAGUUGGCCGGUGAAUCUUAUUAAUAGUUUACCACAAAUAAGUGUUCAUUUUUAGUCUAGAAGGGACAGGCGUUUAUUGUGCAUUGGCCAGUGCCAGCACAUCCGAUGCAAGGCAGUUCACCGUAUUCUAUCUUUAAUUUUUACCAUGGUCCUCUGAGGUAGGUGUUCUUAUCUCUCUCUCUCUCUCUCUCUUUUAAACAGAGGAAGACAAACAUAAAGAUGAAGUGCUUAAUUCAAGGUCACACAAUGUCGGGGAUGGACCUCCAGAUUUCCUUACUGACCUGCAUUAUCUUGUGGAUACCUGAGUGAAUUCCACACCACCCAUUUUAUAGAUGAAACCACUGAGACAUGGAGCAACUGACUGAGUAGUCACUGCCCCACCCCUGCCUGGAGCCUCACACAUGACUCGUC